This 74-nucleotide transfer RNA is filed under the name Candidatus Kaiserbacteria bacterium RIFCSPHIGHO2_01_FULL_55_79. RNAcentral describes it as "tRNA-Gly". It matches the Rfam family "tRNA". Rfam says of the family: Transfer RNA (tRNA) molecules are approximately 80 nucleotides in length. Their secondary structure includes four short double-helical elements and three loops (D, anti-codon, and T loops). RNAcentral also lists the same sequence under 3 other names. Lineage: Bacteria; Candidatus Kaiseribacteriota. The record is from RNAcentral.
GCGGGACUAGUUUAGUGGCAGAACAGCAGGUUUCCAACCUGUUAGUGGGGGUUCGAUUCCCCCGUCCCGCACCA